This 553-nucleotide long non-coding RNA is filed under the name Setaria viridis. Its description in RNAcentral is "long non-coding RNA (SVIR_LNC005902)". The record is from RNAcentral. Lineage: Eukaryota; Viridiplantae; Streptophyta; Magnoliopsida; Poales; Poaceae.
AGUUUGUAAUUUUCCUUUGGCUAUUCCCCUUUUUUUUUCUUGUUUGUUUUUUUCCUAGUCUGUAACUUUAAAAGGAUUUUUUCUUUUAUAUAUAAUCAGUAGGGGCUUGCCCCUCCUGUUCCUUCAAAAAAAAAGCUUAAGGGCUAAUCGACAGAACAAACCAUGAAUCUUGAUGCAGUAUAUUCCCGCUAGUUUACCAAGCAUAUAUCGCCUUCGAGUACCAUUAAUAAAGAUAAGAUCCCAGUCCAAGAACCGCACUUUUCUGAUUUCCCUCCCCAAAAUUCUAUCAGGAAUCAACAAAAGUUCACCAUGAACCAGCAAAAUCCAACCUUUUCGCGAUAGAAAGGAACGGUAGGAAUGCACUCACCGCGAAACCAACGAGCUGAAGAGGCGGCUUGCGAGACGGGGGCGGGGCGAGGAAGCAGCCCCGGCCUGAACGCUCGGAGGCGGAGCGGGGUAGUCAAGGCUGAAGGGAGCUUACUGCUGAUACUGUGGCGGAUUAGUUGGAGAUCGUUAUGGAUUUGGUGGACACUAACUGCUGGAGGUGGGGGAU